This 452-nucleotide ribosomal RNA is filed under the name uncultured soil bacterium. RNAcentral's name for it is "bacterial SSU rRNA". It matches the Rfam family "Bacterial small subunit ribosomal RNA", at positions 26 to 502 of the family's 1533-position model. The record is from RNAcentral.
AGAUUGAACGCUGGCGGCAGGCCUAACACAUGCAAGUCGAGCGGUAGAGAGGUGCUUGCACCUCUUGAGAGCGGCGGACGGGUGAGUAGUGCCUAGGAAUCUGCCUAGUGGUGGGGGAUAACGUUCGGAAACGGACGCUAAUACCGCAUACGUCCUACGGGAGAAAGCGGGGGACCUUCGGGCCUCGCGCCAUUAGAUGAGCCUAGGUCGGAUUAGCUAGUUGGUGAGGUAAUGGCUCACCAAGGCGACGAUCCGUAACUGGUCUGAGAGGAUGAUCAGUCACACUGGAACUGAGACACGGCCCAGACCUCCUACGGGAGGCAGCAGUGGGGAAUUUUGGACAAGUGGGCGAAAGCCUAGGACUCCGAGCAAUGCCGCGUGCAGGAAGAGGCCUUCGGUAGUAACUGUCUUUGUACGGAACGAACGGUCGUACUUAAUACAGACGACUAAGU